This 227-nucleotide ribosomal RNA is filed under the name Sericomyrmex bondari. Its description in RNAcentral is "partial large subunit ribosomal RNA". Lineage: Eukaryota; Metazoa; Arthropoda; Insecta; Hymenoptera; Formicidae. The record is from RNAcentral.
GAAUUUUAUAUAUAAAAUUUAUUGGAUAGUUAAUUUUUAUUUGGAUAAGGUUAUAUAUUUAAUUGGGAGGAUUAUUAAAUUAAUUGAACUUUAAUUAAUAGGAGGAUAUUAAUAAAUAAUUUAUAAUUUUAAUUAUAAAGGAGGAUAAAUUAAUUGAGUUAGAAUUAAUUACCUUAGGGAUAACAGCGUAAUAAUUUUGGAAAGAACAUAUUAAUAAAAUUGAUUGC